Ochotona princeps (American pika) is the source of this 362-nucleotide long non-coding RNA. RefSeq lists it as uncharacterized. The transcript is spliced from 3 exons. The record is from RefSeq and is a predicted model, not a curated record. NCBI's taxonomy places the organism in Eukaryota, Metazoa, Chordata, Mammalia, Lagomorpha, Ochotonidae.
GACCGACCCAGGGCUGGCGAUGCUUCCCCGCCGCCAGGCUGAGCCUGCUGCGCCCUGGCCGCCGCCGUGGGCCAGGGGGGUCGCCGGGAGAGCCGCUCGCUCGCUCGCGAAUACCGAAUCUGUUUUCCUAGCCAACGGUAUGUGUCAAAGCAGGGUAUCUGUCAUCCAGUCCCGUAGCAGGUGAAAGACUCUUUUAUUCUGGCGUUCAUACCGUAGCCUGUAACUGGGAACCGAACUGCAUCAUCCAUUCUACCAUCAGAAGCCCCAGGAACAACUCCCUGAAGUAUCCAAGGAGACUGCCGGGCUGGUCCAGGCUGUAGUAUCUGUAGAAGAACUCAGGAACAGGACAUGGGGCAGGCUUG